AGUGAGAUGGCCUCACCCAUGCCCACCAGCUUUCCUCGCCGCCACGCCCACCGCCCUGCCUCGAUAAAUAGGUGAAGAAGAAAGAAAGUAGGCGAAGUAUUUAGCAUCAACACCCAAAAUCUACAGAGUAGCAGUACGAAACCCAGAUUAUGGCUACUGAGCAGUCGAUUUUGGCGGUGAUACGGGCGGCGCGGCCACAAUUCCGCACCGCCUUUGAUAAGGCAGCGUACGCCGUCCACGCGUCCUUUGUUGCCACCGGAUACGUCCUCCACGCCACCGGUCCUCCUGCUUUCGCCGACGACGCUCUUUCCGUAUCCUGCAAAGAUGAAGUUGGGAUGGAUGGUUGGAACGAUGUCGAACAUAAUUAUGCGUUCGUAUACUCGAACCCGGAGAAGGGUUCGAAAAAGGUGCUCGUGAAGUGCCUUGUGAUGAAUGAUAAAUUGAUCGUUGAUGUUCUCAAGGAAGGAGGCUCCGAGCCUCUGCAUCUUGAACUGGAUGCUGGUGAAUAUGUCCGAGAGGAUGCCGGGAGCAAUUAUGGUUCGCAGUUCAAGAAUUUGGGGAAGCUGGUGGAAAAUGUUAACAAGGAAAUUUUAAACAAACUGGAUGCUGCGUCGGCUUCUAGCUCGUCAGCGAAAAGCUCUAGUACAGAGGCAAGUAUAAGAGAAGAAAGAGAUCGGCUCAGGGUAGGACCUGACACAGAAGACCCUUACACGCCCUUACAUCCUGGAUACGUUGUUCCACCAAUUCCUGGUUUUGGCGGCAGUGACCUCUUUCCUGGCCCAGGGGCUGGAAUGUACCCAUCCAGGGGUGAUUUUGGAGGUGGAAGCAUGUUGGUGGGUCCUGAUGAUCCGAGGUUCUUUGGGGAUCGAACUCGUGGCCCUGGAUUUCCUGGUGGUCUACCAGGUGUACCCCCUGGUGCCCGCUUUGAUCCCUAUGGACCUCCUAAUGUACCUGGAUUUGAGCCUGGUCGAUUUGCCAGGUAGUUUACACUGACUUCGUUGUCUAGUUGAGUAAUGAGUCGAACUGUCCAUGACUAUAUUUUACCGUAGAAAUCCACCAAGAUCUGGAGGAGGAUUACAUCCAGACUUGGAGCACUUCCAUAACGGCUCGGAUUUUAUAUAGGACCAACCAGGCAAACAUGUCAUUUCUGCUUUAAUCACUUUAGUUUUUGUUUUACCGUUUAAAUUUGAAGCAUGAUGCCAUAUGUGGUAUAGUAUAUAGCAAUAAAAUGGGUGCUUUUUGUUUAGUUGGUAUUGUUUCUAGACACCAGUAUAAUAAACAUUUUCUUCUCUUGUUUGGUA
This is an RNA transcript of Salvia splendens (bonfire salvia), 1301 nucleotides long. It is a transcript of the gene named probable proteasome inhibitor, with no coding region annotated. The record is from RefSeq and is a predicted model, not a curated record. The transcript is spliced from 9 exons. Lineage: Eukaryota; Viridiplantae; Streptophyta; Magnoliopsida; Lamiales; Lamiaceae.